UUUUUUUUUUUUUUUUUUUUUUUGUCAACACAGGGGUGUCCGGGUCAAGACCCGAAGGCGGCCCGACUAAUCCCCUGCGCCCAAGUACACCGCCACCCCAAGCGCACCGGGAGUUAAGUGGGAUUCGAUCACUUGACCUUGGAGUUCCGGAAGAACCCCAAGACCAGAUGGUCUAGCCCCGGGGGGCAGUCAUUGCUAUAUUUGCUUAUCAAACAGUAAGUACAUGCAUUAAAAUCUUGGCUUCAACUCCCUAUAUUUGUGCUAAAUUAUGUUUCAAUUCUUUAGGAAAGUAAUUAAAUUAAACUUCAUUACGUUAGGACAUUUUAGGGUAUUUAUCUAAAUAUUGGACCAACUAAUGCUAUUUUGAGGAACUAUCUAAUGUUAUUUUAAGGUUUGGUUACUAAAACUAUCAAAUCAGGGGAGAUUGGUGUAAUUUUUGAAAUAUAAAGAUAAUUCGAUGAAAUUGACAAAAACCUUGAGGUUUCUAAAACUGUUCCUUUGUAUUAUAACAAACUCUCAACCCACCAUGCCAUGAAACAAAGUUAUUUUGGUUCUUAAAGUUGAACGGUUAUCAUAUUUUGAUUUUUGUCAUUUCUGUGCUUUUUUUUAUUUUAUUUUUUUCCUUGGCGUAAUUAUUUUUUUUCUAUAGGUAUCCAAUUAGAGAAAGACGUGCAAUAUUUUUGCCAAAAUGAUAUCUGAUAGAAUUGGCUAGAAAUACUUGGCCAAUUGGACACCUAAAUUAUACAUCUCUUCCCAUUAUAUUGUUGUUCUUUUUGGUGAUUUGCAAAGUGUGGAUGUGGAUAUACAUCAACUCUUCCAAGUCCUCGUACGAAUGAUAGCUUACUUCCUUUUUGAAAUCUCGGUUUUCAUCAAGAAAUAUGAUUACCUUUCUAAUAAAGAUAAUUUCUAGGGGAUCAAAUUUCAAACGUAUAAGAACACAAAUUGUACCUAGUUGCUUUUGUUUCUAUCUUGGAGGAAAUUGUGAAAAGAAAGCCACACCACUAGUACUAUCAAUCACACUUAAAUUUGUCUACCACUCUUAUAUUAUCUACGAUGAAUAAUUUAAGUGAUAGACGUUUUCUGAGACCAACACCCAAAUGGGAGGUAAUGGGUCUAAUAGAUCGUGUCUCACGGAUUCUGAUAUUGAGUCAGUCCACGCGUCUUUUUUGUAUAUGUCCCCGGCUGCACUAUAUUUUUGCAGUUAAAUCGCAUAUCAUUCAGUUCCCAGGUAGAAAGCGUUUCUAGAAGAUCUUAAGCGCAACUCACGAAGAAACGUGACACACGCUCGGGAAGAAUAUGGGUAAGUUUCGCUUUGAAUCCUUAAACUAUAGAUGUACUCUCGCUUUAGUCCUAAAACUUUAAUUGCUAACGCUUUAUCCCUUAGAGUAUGAAAUGCAUCUCAUUUUAAUGAGAGUGCGUAUAUAAUUUAAGGGUCCAAAAUGAAAUUUAGUCACUCUGAUACAUCCUAUAUGUUCCUAUCAUCCCACUCAACAAGCAAUGAUGAUCACAUGAAGUGAUUAUUUUGAUCGAAUAUAAUAGUAUCACAGACGCUGCAAUUAUAAAAAUAUAGAUAAAAAUUCUCCCAAUCCUUAUUUUGCAUUGUUUUGAAUUUUAAAUAUUCGUAAAGUGUCCAAAAAUCAAGGAUUAAAAAUGUCUAAAUAUAGGAAUAAAAAAUACAAUAAAGAUGAAAUUGAGUGAAUUAAUAGUUACAAGUGGCCUGUAGCCUUUAAAAUCACAGUAUUAAUUUUCCUAUUUCGACUUUGAUCACUCAUCAUUCAAAGAGCAAACCGUUUCAUAUAACGUUGCAUGUGUUGCAGUGACUCAACACUGACAGACUACAAAUGUCUCGCAAAUGAUAGGUUUAACAUUAAUUGAUUAUUGAGAUUUUAGAACUUUUAAUUCUUUGGAUUUUUAUCCUUUCUUGUUUCACCACUAUAGAGUCCAAGACUUCAUUGAUGAAAAACAAACGGCUAUGAUCUAUCAUUUUUUUUUAUUUUUGCUUCUUGGGUUAUUAACUUUGAUUGAUUGAUUGAUGAAAUUGAGAAACAACCACCAAACUAAUUGAAAAAUUUUGAAAUGUUCUCCACCUAAUCUGUGAAAAUUAGAACACAAGAAUCAAACAAGUUGGUCAGAUUGCAAAUACAUAUGAAGCAACAAAUAACUCAAUAUUGAAACUUAUGCAAAUCUGAAAGCAAAAAAAAAAUGUUGUACCCUAACUAUAGGGGAUUAGAAUGAAAAUUAUGUCGUUGAUUAUGAAAGAAAAAUGAAUGUUAGAGAUGGAAAGCUUAUUGAAGGCUCAUCAUGUUAUUUCUUCCCCAAAUACACGGGGCCUUGCACUCACUUAGCGAACCUCUCUUCUUCUUGGACGUUUUGGCAACGAUUGGUUGCCCUCCUUGGCCUAAGGCACUUUCCCCCAAGUUUAGGACAAAACCAAUAUUUCAGAGGUUAACACUGAAUUGAACACAAACUUCUGACUGAAAACUACAAAGUGAGUGCUGGUUUCACCAUGAUUAGUUAACUAAUUAAAUGGGGUGUUCUAAUCUAACUGGGUGUGUGAGUUUCUACCACUUUGGGAGAAAAAAACUAUUCAUUUGGCGAGGGUGUGCUCGAGAGGGGGGAGGGGCAUCCCUCCCACAUCGGUUGGAUGUGGGUCAGUUAACCUGGGUUUAAGGUCCAUAGGGGUCUCGUUCAGACACCAAUUGGGUGGACGUGAGUUCUUUGUGAGUCCUCCUUAGAUUAAUACUCUUUACUGGAUCGUUUGGCCGCUGCCUUCCUGAAUGUUUUUAAUCUAACUGGGUGUGUGAGUUUCUACCACUUUGGGAGAAAAAAAAUUAAAUAGGGUGUUCAAGCUUAAAUGAGUUCCAUUGUUGUCAAAUUAUCUCUCUAUAAACUUAAAAUUUUUAUGGUGAAGGCAUUAAUUAGUUAUCAUAGUUUAAUUUGAAUAGGUCUCGUGUCUAGAUUCUAUAGAGGACUUAGAUAAUAACUUGACAAAGUAGAGAUUGAACACAAUUUUCAAUAUUCACACAAGUGUUCAUGGGUGGAGGCCAUAAUUUGUGUAUGAGAAAACAUUCAUGCCUUGAAAUGACACAACAACCAUUCCAACUCCUCCUCCACUCCGAGCGCUGGUGCUACCAUGGACCAUGGUCACUAUCUCCUCCUCUUCUUUUUCUCAUACAAAUUCGAUUAAAAAAUUGACCAACUCAGAACUUAUUUACCAUGUUUUGCACUAAAAGCCCCUAUAUAUCCACCAAAUUCUUUUCAAGUUUAGUCUUCUUUAUCAAAAGACAAUUGAGCCCAAUAUAAUCAAUCUAUAUAUAGCAACUCUAGAAAAUUGAAGGACCAUCUCCACAGUCCACUCAAGGGCAGUCUUAUAAAUUUUUUUUUUUUUACCUUCCACUCCUCCCCGCACCCUUUCCACCACUACAAGAAAUUUGGCAUUUCAUGACUUGCCAGAUUAAUGCAAGUCACAAAAAAAAAAAAAAAACUUACUUUUUAUGACAUGACAUUGGUGCAUGUAGCAAUAAGUUGGUUUUAAGUCACAAAAUACAUGACCUAAAUUCAUUUACGAAUCACAAUUGGUCUUUCAAGUCACAAGAUCAAUUGUGACUAGUGAAAUUUAAAAACUCUCUCCCAGCCAAUGGACAAUCCCAUAAUUUCUUUAUGGUUGGCUUUUACAAGUGAUAUAGCCUUACUAGUCAACUUCAAGCAAAGCUGAGAAGCGCGCAUGCGUCAAGAUUCAAUGCUGCACGUUUAGGUCUCUCCUUCAUACGUGCUUUCGGCCGCCAGCGACAAUGAAGUAGUAGUCUGUAUGCUUAAGCAUCAGUCAGAUACAGACCCAUACAUGCUUAACUAACCAGCCACGAGACCCUGCAAAUUGACAACUCAUGAUUUGCAAAACAAUCCAGGAUAAAAUAUACUUGCUUCUCAAGACAAUAUGAAUAUCAAUUCUUACUAAAUUUACAAAAUUUUUCGCAAUAACAAAAUUAAACGGAGACCAUUGGUUGUGUAGAUUGCACGAACGGUGUCCCAUAGGUCUUCAAGAGCCCUUAAAUUGAAGAAUGAAAACCAUUGGAAAACUCUAUAUAUGUAUAACUUGAUGGAAGAUAAUAAAGAAUAUUCUUAAAUUAUUUGUUACUGGCCAUUACUAUAUCGAAUUCUUACACCAUUGUAAAGUAUGAUUUUGCUUGCGAAUCUGCUAGGAACCAAUCUUAUAUCCUGCAACAUUUGCACGAAAUAUCAAUUGAUGGAACUGGAAGCAUUUUUUUUUUCCCUCAAAAAACCGGAAGUCAUGUUAAUGUCUCAGCCAUGAAGAAACACCUUUUUUGUAGUAAUCUGGUGCUUAUGUCGAGGAUAUUAGAUAAGAGUUGUAACCUGUCCAAUCAGGGCACCAUAUAUAUAUAUAUAUAUAUAUCUGCUAGUGCAGUUCUUCAUAAAUUGCUUUAAGUCCAAGGAUUGAGGAGGGCUAUGAUCGGCAGAUGAUGAUUGACGGCUAAGCAUUUCUGUGCAAGACUAACAGGUAAUCUGACUUGAUACAUAUAAUUUUAAUCAUUAAUAUUGUAUGAGAAAAAAAAAAAAAGAGAAACAAGUAAUAAGUACGAAAAAUGCAUGAAAAAGUUUAAAGUGGCCAAAUUUCAAUUUAACAAUCUAUUAUGGGCAAGUCAAAGUUACCGAAGAAUAUCGCGUCGUUGUCACGAACUUUGUCACGAUUCAAUACCACGCCUCAGUCAAGAAUGAAGGCCAAGCAAACGAUGAAGAAGAGAUAUAAUGUUGCCGUAAUUCAUUAGAGAACAAAAUUGGAGAUGAGAAUUUAGAAAUAAAGGACAUUUCCAUUUACUUGAUCAUCUUCCAGUAACAAAACAUUGCAUGCAAUGCAAGUUAUUUCAAAUCGGACUUGGAUACAUAGCCUUGCUCAUGCAUUCUGUCUUUUUGGAAAAAUUAAAGGCUCUUUUCAAUUGAUUUUCGGUCUUUAAUUAAUGGAAGAAAGAUCAGCAUAAUACGUUUUGAUCCAUCCUUCGAUGAUUCGAACCUCCAUCUUCCGUUGCAUGACUAACCACUCUGGAUCCGUACUUUGGUUUGCUGGAUAUAAGUCUAAGCCAUGACACCCUGAAAUGUGAAAAUAAUAUGUUUUUGAACUUAUAAACUAGUAAAUGUAAGACACCAAGUGUUGGAUAACAUACAGGAGAAAAACUAUGUACAGACCAUUUGUCAAAUGCUCCACGAAAUGUAUCUAAUCUUUUUUCUUGUUUCCAACUGAGACGUUGUCCAACGGAUUGUAGGUCAGGCCCUGUCUCUGAAAUAUUUAAAUUUUUUUUGGGAAUUUAUUUUCCAUUUUUUUUGGGUAGAUUGAGAAUGUAUCUAUAUAUGUCCUUUCUAGGAAUAGUAAUAAAAUUUUCUACAAUAAAAUGGUGAAAAUAAUGAAGGAAAAAUUAAUAGCCAAACCAAUUUUUAACUUCAAAAGAAAAAGGGCGCAGAAUGGAACGAGAACAUGCUUGAGCUUCAAUGUUGCUGCCAUUAAUUGAUUUCUACUGUUUUAUUCUCUUUUUCUUUUCUUUUUUUUAUUUUCUCUUUGAUUCUCAGAAAAAAAAAGGAAAAAAAAAAGAAUUGAUAAUGUCCAGUCCAAACCAUGAGCGGUAGAUAUAGCCAAAAGACUGUCAGAUAAGUCCUCGAGCACCCUAUAAAUAAGCCAGAAAACCAUUACAAGAUGAUCCAGUACAGGCAUGACUUCAAAGCUCAAACAAAAGACAAUAAUUUUUUUGAUAGUAAAUAUGACAUACCCGCCACUGCUAUAAGGAUCUUUUCGACCAUUAGAAAAAAUGAUGUUGCUGGCAAACUUCUGAAGGGUAAGUUUUAUGUCCUGCACAAUAUUGCAAACAUCACGUGCAACUAUACUGUUAGGCAUGUAGUGGCUACAUCGAGGAAGAUAGAAAGGAUACGAAGGAAUUUGGAACUGUGCAUGUUAUGGGACUUUACUCAACAAAUUUUUACUUUUACAUAGGUUACUAUAUAGUCAGGUAUUUCUGAUUUUAUAGACAUAUUUGGCAUUUUGUAUAGAGCAGAUUCCUUCUGUUUGAGAAAUUUCUAUUCUGAUUGAUAAAAGUUUAUAUUUCACGUAAAAAAAAAAAUCAUAUGCCACCCCUUUCUCGAAUUUUGUGUGUGUGUGGAGUUUUUUUUUUUUUUUUUUUGGGGGGGGGUGUUUGUGGUGGUGUGUUGUCAUCUUAUGUGUAUUUUGGACAUGAUUUAAAUGUUCAAGAUUCUGUCGGCUUCGAAUCUUCUGUUUCCAAAUUAGUCUCUAUCCCCUUUGUCCCUUCUUUAUACUGUUGCCACGUGUCUCUAAAUUUUUAAUGACCCAAACAAAUCGAUAAUAAUUGAUUGACAAGUUUACUCAAAACCAAUUAAAACAGAUAGGUCAAAACUUUUUUUUUAUAUUUUUAUUUUAACAAAAAAGAGUCUUGUUGAUCUUAAAUGUAGAAAUCAACUAAAACUCUUCUUUAAUUUUUACCGCAAAUCAACUAAAAUUAAAUGUAGAAAUCAACUAAAAUUCUUCAAUUAUUAUUGGUUUUGAGUUUAGGUUAUCAAAGAGUUAGAGACACUUGGAAACUGUACAAAGAAAGGAUAGAGAGGAUAGAGACUAAUUUGAAGACAGAAGAUUCGAAGCGGAUUCUGUGAAAGCAAUAAAGAAGAAUUGCCUACUAGCAUAAUUUGGACUCGUGAAAUGCAGGGUAUAAAAUGAAAAACAUACAUGGCCUCCGUAGUAGGUUGUGAUCCAAUGAGGUCGAGGCGGGACGCCAUAAACAAGUUUACAGUAUUGGGUGAACUCCGUCAAAUUAAAAGGGGCUGGCUGGAACAUAUGAGCUUCAACAGUCCGUCCAAUGGGCAUUACCAUUUCACUACAUCUCUAAGAACCAAGACAUUAAUGUUAUCCCAAUCCAGAGAAAAUAAGAAAAGGAAAUUAAAGGGCCAUUUUGACCUGAAGAGCCAAAAUCCAAACACUAGUGUACUGUCAUGAAAAUCCAAAUUUAGAAAAAAUUGUUUUCAAAAGCAUAUAUACUUGCCAACCCCAUCCCUCGUUUGUUUCAGUGGGACGAUGAAAGUAGUUGACAUCAUAGCAGGAUGAAUUCUUUCCAAAUGCAGACUCAACACCAGCAAAUAUUUGGCCAAUAAUAUCAGUCUGGCUUCCAGCUCGAUCAAUGGCUUCACAGAGCACUGUAAGAGGAUAAUCAGGCGGAUGAUUAUAUUGAGCAUGGGAUGCAUACAUUGACACUAAAAAAUUCUUGAGCUCAACGCCACUGUUCAAGUGCCUGAAAAUACAAAAAGGGUUUUAUUAUACAAGCUGUUCUAUUUUGCUUCAAGGUCACAUGCCAAAGAGAAGUCCUCAAGGAAGCAUGAAGGGCUUACGAGCAAGUCUUGAAUCUCUGACUCAGAAUGGAGAGACCACCUGGUUGAGAGGCGAUAUUGUCAACUAUAUCCCACGAAUCUUUGAUUGUCCGGUAACAACUUGCGCUAGUCGCCUGCAAGAUCAAUCAUCAAGGGUGAGAAUGUCUGAAUUUUUUCCACGCAAGGUGAUUUGAGAUACUUUGAAAGACCAUUAUGUAAAUACAUUAGAUAGAUAGAUUAAAACAUAUUAAUUUUUCUUGGAUAAAUGAAUACAUUAUUAUUCCAAGUUGCUUCUGCUUGUUCUCUUGCUUUUCUCGAUGCAAACAAGAAUGUACUACUUGAAAUCUUGUUAAAUUAGUAGUACAUUACAAGAAAAUCUUUGGUCACGAUCCAGUAAUAUCCAUCUUGCGGAGUGAUGUUGUCGAAAUAAAGAACGGGUGCUGAUGAGGCUAAAGCUCCAAUAGCAAUGUGUGGAUACUUGAGCCGGAACCAUGCUGCUGCUGCCAGCACUGGAAAUUUUGUGAAGAAGAAACUGCUGUAAGAUAAUAAUAACAAUAAUAAUAGCAAGUUGAUACAAUCUAUAAAAGAAAAAGUAUACACAUGGAAUUUAGGAAAGGCAUUAUUCUACUCUUCUUACUUCCUCCAUAUGACCCCCCAAAGACAAUAACUGGAGAAUUUGGAGAAGAAAAUCUCUCCUUCACGUAUAGCAAGACCUCUGCAUAAUCAGCUAUAGCCUGAGCUGAGUUAAAGAAUCCGCGAGUGGUCUCAUUUUUUAAUGCUUCUUCCAUUGAACCAAAUGGAACUGAUUCUCCAUAAUAUCGAUGCUGGAAAAAUCAAGAAUUAACCAAGUCCUGACACCAGACAACGUCAAACCAUGAAGAAUAAUUUUAAUCUUAACUUAGGGCACCUCUACAUAAACAACAAGAGCAUUAAAGAAGGGAGCAUGAUCAACAGGAAAACCAACACGGAGGAAAUCAUGAUCAAGUGGGCUUUCUGCUCCAAGAUGUGCAAAUAUUGGUGAGCUUGAAUUUGCACCACCCCAGUAUUUAGUGUUGAUGGCAUAUUUCUGCUUGAAAGUGGCAUAACUUGGAGGUCCAUAAUUAAAGUGGUCUAGAGUUUGUUCGUAGAAGUACGUUUCGAAAUCAUGUAGUGAUACAGGAGAUGAUGAUGGAGAGAUGGAUUCAAGAUAUUGGGGAAUUGAUCCGUGAAGAGUUAGCCUCGGAAUAUUAUAUGGUGCUCCUGAAUUGGAAUAAAUUGAGAAGAGCAAGAGAAUAAGAGGGACUCCAUAAGAUUUUGGUGUUGGAGGUUUCAUGGCAAAGGAUUUUGAAACUUUGAAUUACUUCGUUCAACUAUGACUCUACUCUUUUUAAAUAUAAAAGCUUUCGACAAAGUAAGGUCAUUUUCUUUCCCUUCUCCUUGGAGUACGAUUUUUGUAUCCAACAGAUUAACUCGUGCACAUGCUUAAACACGAAAAUUACUUUAAAGACGUAAACAAAAAAGAAAAAAAACUUACUUCUAAUUCUCCGAAGAAGUUCUAAUCAAGCCAGUCAAGGCGGCCAAAAUAACAUUGCAUUUUAUUCCCAUAUGUUGUAAAGGAAUAUUCGAUAUCCAAAGCUUGUUUUUUUGUGUACUCCGAGGCUUCAUUGUGGUUUCCACUUUUGGAGUAUUUGCUUGGGAGUUUGCUCUCAACGAUUAAAUGCCCCUUGAUAAAUCUAAAGAAACGCGGAAAAUCCAUGUAAAAGGAAUAAACAAGAUUUCUUCAACUGGUUCAAAGCUUCAGUCCAGAUUUUUUUUUUCUUUUUCUCUUUGGUUUUUGUGAAGAAGACAAUUUUAAGUACAGCUGGUGUUUUAGUGUAACAAACUCCUAAUCAACACCAAAAUGUAUCAUCUGUCUGAUUUAUUUCGUAAAAAUGUUAUGAUCUACACAAAUAAAACGUCUACAAGUAACGUAAUUGUAAUAAUGUAUCCUGAACCCGUGGAUUCUGUUCUACGAGCUUCUAACCGUGAAAGCCCCCUCUUCCUUCUCGUUUACAGCUUGGUCAUACCAUCCCUCUUCCCCUCUUUCAAUUUUUAUACAGAGAAUUCGCAAUUGUUAAAUAUUUUCUCUUUGUGAUUUUUUCCUCUAUUAUGCCAUGCAGAAAGGAUUCAAAACUUCAGCCAUCAGUCCUAUUUCCUUUUCAAUAUGUAAAACAUCAAAGCGGAUAGUUCCAAUUCGUGAAACUGGAAGUACUUUGAAAAUUAAUCGAACAACAAAAAUUGCUUUGCCGUGUGCAGCAGAAGGAACUCUGACACCAACAAAAUAAAAAUAUACAAAAGAGAGAGGAAGAAAUUUCUAUGUAUUUGGGUUCCCAAACUUCCAACUGAAUGACUGCUGCCAAAGAGCCAACUAAUAUACAAGAUCAGCAAUGACAACAUAUGAAUAUAUUCAGUACAUGGAAUGCAAGUUAAUGCGCUUGUUACCCCAGGUUGUUCAAUAGCAUGAAAUUCCAACAUUGGUCAACCAAUGCCUUUCAACCUUCCCCAGUUGCAUUAUUCAACACAACUGCAAGCAGCGCCCCGAAAU
Molecule: long non-coding RNA, 9937 nt
Filed under: Coffea arabica (coffee)
Lineage: Eukaryota; Viridiplantae; Streptophyta; Magnoliopsida; Gentianales; Rubiaceae
Description: long non-coding RNA (CARA_LNC000719)
Source: RNAcentral